Molecule: ribosomal RNA, 253 nt
Filed under: uncultured bacterium
Lineage: Bacteria
Description: partial 16S ribosomal RNA
Rfam family: Bacterial small subunit ribosomal RNA
Source: RNAcentral
UACGUAGGUGGCAAGCGUUGUCCGGAAUUACUGGGCGUAAAGGGCGUGUAGGCGGCCUGAUAAGUCAGACGUGAAAGCCCGCGGCUUAACCGCGGGACUGCGUUUGAAACUGACAGGCUUGAGGAUCGGAGAGGGCAGUGGAAUUCCCAGUGUAGCGGUGAAAUGCGUAGAUAUUGGGAGGAACACCAGUGGCGAAGGCGACUGCCUGGACGACACCUGACGCUGAGGCGCGAAAGCUAGGGGAGCAAACGGG